AGGACGAACGCUGGCGGCGUGCUUAACACAUGCAAGUCAAGGGGGCCCAGCAAUGGGCAACCGGCGAACGGGUGCGUAACACGUGAGCAACCUACCGAAAUGUGGGGGAUAGCCGGCCUAACGGCCGAGUAAUACCGCAUACGCUCUCGAUGAGGCAUUUUCAUUGAGAGGAAACCUACGGGACAUUUCGAGGGGCUCGCGGCCUAUCAGCUAGUUGGCGAGGUAACGGCUCACCAAGGCAACGACGGGUAGC
RNAcentral lists this ribosomal RNA (253 nucleotides) under uncultured soil bacterium. RNAcentral's name for it is "partial 16S ribosomal RNA". It matches the Rfam family "Bacterial small subunit ribosomal RNA", at positions 26 to 287 of the family's 1533-position model. The record is from RNAcentral.